This 2611-nucleotide long non-coding RNA is filed under the name Piliocolobus tephrosceles (Ugandan red Colobus). Its description in RNAcentral is "lncRNA (ENSPTEG00000019024.1)". Lineage: Eukaryota; Metazoa; Chordata; Mammalia; Primates; Cercopithecidae. The record is from RNAcentral.
UCUGAGGAAUGCAGUGAUGUCCAUCAGUCAGUCACCUCUCACCCAGAGCCUGGCAAAUUCAAUCUCUUUCACAGAACCUAAAGCCAAGCCAGGUUCAACAGGAAAUCCCACCUGUCCAAACACUGUGUGAGAUACCAGAAGUAGAGGCCUGCAAGCCUGCUUCCGCCAUCUCUGAUGCUCAGAUGGGACAGGUCACCAGCGUCCUGUAUCUACCCCCACCUUUCUUGCUUGCUGGCGUCCUCUCUCUGCAGUGCUUCUCUCAUCCCUGCAAUCCAGACAACACAUGCAGGAGCUCAAAUAAGUGCCACCUCUGGAUGUGAGAAACAGGACCCAAAGAGGGGAAAUCAUUUUAAUCUUGUCCUGGAAUUGCUUUGUGUUCCUGGAUUUGGAGAAUUUCUUGGAACACAGGAAAAGGAAAGUGAAUGCCACCAGGAUCUGAACCCAAGAUCUCCAGCCUCCAUCACCAUCCUGACCCUGAGAAUGCCACUGGGAUGGGGAGAACUUGCCAGUCUUCAUCCUUCCCCACAAGUGUACUGAGGCCAGGACAGUCUUAGGCCCCUGCUGCCCUCCUGGCUCUCAGUGGAGAGAAAAGAGGAAGUAAAUUUGGACCUAGCCUUGAGAUCCUGGAAGAGCUCCUUUGGAUCUAGCCUUGGGAUCCUAGCAUCUCUUUACAAAAUUAUGAUCUUCGUUGGGCAUCUCUAAGCCACCAAUUGGGUUGCCUGCACUUGAGCAAAUACAGCAAGGUAGUAUUGAAACAGAAGGGUAGAUACAGAGUGGGAGGACUCUGUAUUUACCUGCAGAGGUAGCUGUAGAGAUGUCAUAUCAAGACAAGAGGCACUGGCUUGAGAAAUGCUGGCUGGACUUCUACAGCUGGGUAGAUGUCAGACAUGAAGCCCGCUGCUGAGUCUGGUGGGAGAAACUGCCCGCCUUAACAUCACCCUUAGCCCAGCACUAAGAUCGUGAGAGACUGGCCAGGCGUGGUGACUCACACCUGUAACCCCAGCACUUUGGGAGGCUGAGGCAGGCGGAUCACGAGGUCAGGAAAUCAAGACCAUCCUGGCUAACACAGUGAAACCCCAUCUCUACUGAAAAUACAAAAAAUUAGCUGGGCGUGGUGGCACGCGCCUAUAGUUCCAGCUACUUGGGAGGCUGAGGCAGGAGAAUGGCGUGAACCCGGGAGGCGGAGCUUGCAGUGAGCCAAGAUCAUGCCACCGCACUCCAGCCUGGGCGACAGAGUGAGACUCCAUCUCAAAAAACAAAAAAGGAUCCUGAGAGACCCCCGGGUCAUUCUCUAAGCUGGUCUUUUUGGUCUGGUUGGGUCAUUUUCUCCUACACAUCUUCUAGUUUGAUACCUUGGGGUAGAUCCAAGAGACUGAGAAGAUGGAGGCAUCCUAGUCAUGACCUCAACAAAGCUGGGGAAAGAAAACUCCUUCUGUCCUCUCUUGACCUUUCAUGGAAGGGCACUAUGUCUUCCACUCAGCAUCCUCACUGGAAACAGAAGAGAGGAAAAGGCAUCAGAUUUUAGCAGAAAGGAUAGAGGGUAGACAUAUGGAAAAACUUACUCAUGAGAUGAAAGACUUCAGAUUGGACCUGCUUCUCUUCUGAUAUUUUUCUUCUGCCUGCCGGUUUGUUUUUGUGUCUACUUAAGAAGCACUGGAUGAACCAGGGUUACUUUUCCAGGCCUCUUCCACCCAGCCUCAGCACAGUUUCCAUACAGUGCACUGCUUCUCAUUUCUUCUAAAUGUAAUGUAGUAUGUGUGGUGGUUAGAUCACAAGUUUUGGAGACAGACAGCUCUGGGUUCCAGUGCCAUCUCUGCCACUUACCAGCUGUGCUACCUUGGUAAUUCACUUAACCUCUUUGAGUCCUAGUUUUCUUGUAAAAUGCAGAUAAACAACUACUCCUUAAGUCUAUUGUGAGAAUUUCAUGAAAUAAUGUGUGUAAAGCACCUACAACAGUGCCUGAUACUCAGUAGAUGCUCACUGAACAGUGGAUGGUGCAAGAAUACUACUACUUUUAUGAAGUUAGCAGGGCUGAUACUGCUUCCAAGACUUUGUGAGUUCCCUGAGAUUAAAGGCUGAAUGUAUGUGCAUAUGCUGGGGGAGAAUGUAGUUUUCUACAUGAUGUGAAGUAGGGGUGGCCAUCCUCUGGAAAGAAAGUAGUCCCAAUCCUUGACUCAGACUCCCCAAGAAAUCAGUUACCCCAUUCCUAUGCCUCUCAAGCCAGAGUACCUUGGCCACUGUUCUGCCUGGAAGUUCAGCUUCAUCCAGGAUGGAGGUGGGAGAGAUAGUCAUUAGAAGGACAGCAACAACUAGCAUUUGCUAGGCACUUUACAGUUUGUUAAUCACAUUUAUCUACCUUAACUCUUUUGAUACCCAGAACAACCCAGUAAAGAGAACUCCAUUUAUUGAUGCCUGUAUGCCAGGCAUUGUACUGAGUGUGUUUUUUAAAGUAUGUUUAAAGACUAUAGAGUAUUUCAUCCCCUGGAUAUGCUGUGAUUUAUAAGGCUCAUCCCCUAUUUUGAAUCAUUUAGAUAUUCUUACUAUUAUAAAAAAUACCACAGUGAAUAUCCAAACAAAUAAAACUUUAUGCAUUUUAUUUUAUUUUUUGAGA